Molecule: non-coding RNA, 322 nt
Organism: Pelobates cultripes (western spadefoot toad)
Lineage: Eukaryota; Metazoa; Chordata; Amphibia; Anura; Pelobatidae
Source: the annotation of a GenBank genome assembly
GGGAAACUGUACCAAAUACUAUACUGAAAUCCAUGUUGAUGUCAACAGCAAAAACACACUUUAAUUCUCCUGAUAUAGUCUUGAAUUAAAUUAAGUCACUAUAGUAUAAUCUGCCUUUUAUAACUAUACUUCAUAUUCAGACAAACUGUGAUUUGUAUGAAAUUGCGUUGAUUUAGUGGUUCACCCAUAUAAUGGACCAAAUUGCCAAAUGACCAAAUCAAAAAUGCAAAAAAGGAUGGAAAAGAGGGAAGGAGCUGAAUCGUGUGCCCUUCAUGUGCCUUGAUGUACAAGGGGCUUGAGGAUUUUUUUAUUUUAUUUUGAG